This is a long non-coding RNA of Rana temporaria (common frog), 5256 nucleotides long. RefSeq lists it as uncharacterized. The transcript has 2 exons. Lineage: Eukaryota; Metazoa; Chordata; Amphibia; Anura; Ranidae. The record is from RefSeq and is a predicted model, not a curated record.
CCUAGGAUCGGCCCUGACCCCAGGUCACGACCCCCAGGUACACCCUGCUCACGAGGAGAGUAUCAGAAGACACAGUCGAAGGAAGCAAAAGGAGAGCCGGAUAGCGAGCCAAGGUCAGGGUGGGCAGCAGACGACGUAAUCAGAAGAACUAGCCGAGUCGGUACACAAGAGAUCAGUUCACGAGAAGUCAGGUUAAGCAGGUUACAGGAAGGGCGCUCAGGAACAAGGGUUGCUCAAGCAACCAGAGUGGAAUUUAAAUAGCGAGGCACAUAGGGGGGCUGGACAGGAAGUAGCAGGAAGGAAAGAUAUAUUAAGCAACAGGUGAAGCCGGCAACACCCAUAGCCAGAGCUGAACGCAAGCUUGUGGAACAGGUGCCAGCCGACCUACAGCAGUAAAAGUAAGACACAGAUCAGCUCCGCAGCUGAUCUGUGACAUUGCUUCAGCUGGUCUCCAUGAAGGGCUCCUCUGUCACAUAGGGCCCCUGGCUUUAAAGACUUGAACCCAGGUCUUUUUCCUGGUCAGGCGUGACCGGCAGUGAAAAUGAUCAGCUUUUUUGGCGUUCCCUUAGGCCUGUGCAGGCUCUGGAAGUGCAAGUGGGCCAUGAGGUGAAAGUUCUCUUCUUGGGGCCAUGUUAGGUAUCUGAUAUGCCACCUUUAAGGUCAAAAAUCAUGGCAGCAGGGAGGACCUCAGAAUGUCGGCAAGGCUUCAAGAACCUGUAUGGGCUGAAAAAGGAACAAAGUUGAUGCCGUGUAAAAUGCUGCCCAGGUUACUGUAUCAAAUCCGAUUCAAAGUAGAGUUACCCUUUUAAAGGCUUGAUCUUGCCAUUGGGUGGACUGAAGAUGCCCGUGGCACAACUCUUGUGGCAGGGUAUACCAGCCCCUCUAUUAUUUUCCUUUACUCUGUGUCAGCUUCCGUCUGAUUCUUCUUAAGUCUCCUUUGUCACUCUCAUUGGCGGUCUCCUGACGCAUGUCUGUGUAUUAUCUGGGCGGUUGGGUGACGGGGCAAUACGGUUUACGCUCCGUGCCCUUUUACGUUCUUCCUUGAUGGUCUCGAUGUCAUAUUUAACUUUUUAUUUUUGUUGGAAAGAGAAAAAAAAAAUGUAAACACGAAGCUAACACGACUGUAAUACCGCGUUCACGACGAUGCCGUUUCUGGAAGGAAUCUCCUGUACCAGUUGCCAUGGCGACGACCAUUUUGUGAAACUGAGCCAAUUCCUUUUGCUGGAAGUCGGCCCGAUCGCCGAGGCACCGAGCGUCUUGUGCGCCCCCCUCCCCGGUGGGUCUCGCUGGUUCCUAGCAAAUGAAUAAGCUGCUUUUCUCAUGGUGAGCAAAAUGGCCUUCAUUGGGUGACAGGUACACUUUAAAUAGCGCUGAAUACGUCUUUAUUUUUUGCAUGGCUCAGGUUCUUGCUACUGUUUUGCGGGUAAGGAUUUUGUUCCGGCUGAUCGGGGGGGGGGGGCGUCACGCCACGUAGGCUGGAAUGUAAUUUACAUUAUUGGGUGGGGGGGGGGGUGGUGUUGGAAAUUUGGAGUCCAUUGCAAUGUUUCCAUACAUCACUGAGUGGUGCGUUCUUACCAUAGCUUUAAGGCAAGAGCGAGCAGCUUAUGAUGUCAAGGCAAGGCGGUCAUGAUGUCUAUCUACAACCCCUAGCAAGUCUGCUGGGAUUAAUACAUACGGGAAUGGUGAUGGAGUAUGUUCUAUACACAUAGGAUUCAAAAUGGCUGCCAUGUAGUGAGCUGUGUGGCCUAGCCAGGUUAUCAUGUGGUAGAGUCCGAGAUGAUUGGUAGGAUCCCAGAAUGUGUGGUACGUUGGUUUCCAUGAGGCAGUCUGACAAGAAUUGGUGAGGAGAGAUUGGUGGGAUUCCAAAAUGGCUGCCAUGUAGUGAGCUGUGUGGCCUAGACAGGUUAUCAUGUGGUAGAGUCCGGGAUGAUUGGUAGGAUCCCAGAAUGUCUGUCGUACGUUGGUUUCCAUGAGGCAGUCUGACAAGAAUUGGUGAGGAGAGAUUGGUGGGAUUCCAAAAUGGCUACCGUGUUGUGAGCUGCCUGCCGUAGACAGGUCAUCGUGUGGUAAAAUCCGAGAUGGUCGGUAGAAUUACAGAAUGUCUGUGGUACCUUGGUUUCCAUGAGGCAGUCUGACAGAAAUUGGUGAGGAGAGAUUGGUGAAAUUCCACAAUGGCUUCUGAGAAAAAUUGGCGCCUGGUUUGUCGGUUCCUUGAGGUAGACUGGCAGGGCUUCACAAUGGCUGCUGUGUGAUAAGGUAGAUUGCCAAGAUUUUAAAAUAGCUGCUAAAUUGUUCAGGAGACUGGCAGGCCUCAAAAUGGCUACUAGGUGUUGGACUCCAUGAGGUAAACUGGUAAGAGCUUAGUUGGUUUCACAUGAUAGGAAUCCAAAAUGGCUUCCUCAUAGAUGGCUUAGCGAGGUCACAGAACUUCAGAACAGCUUCUAGAGUGGUGGAAGGAGACAGGAAUCCAAGAUAGCUUCUUGGUGGAGGGCUUAGUGGAGUCACCUGACAGGAUUCCAAGAUGGUCUAUAGAUGGUGGACAUAGUGGGGUCAUCCAACAAGAUUCCAAAAGGGCUUCUUGGUGGAGGGCUCAGUGGAGUCACCUGACAGGAUUCCAAGAUGGUCUAUAGAUGGUGGACAUGGUGGGGUCAUCCAAACAGAUUCCAAAAGGGCUUCUUGGUGGAGGGCUUAGUAGAUUCACCGACAGGAUUCCAAAAUGGCUUCUAGAUGGUGGGCUCAGUAAAGUCACAUAACUAAAAUCUAUAGUGGAUUCAUGGUGGGGGGCUCAGUGGAGUCAUCUUAGUGGGGGUCACAGGACUUCAGAAUGACUUCUAGGGUGGUUGGAGAAGUGAGGUCACCUGGCAGGAAUUCAAAAUGGCUGCUUAGUGCAGGGCUUGGUAAAGUUACUUGACAUGAUUCCAAGGUGGUUUCUAGAUGGUGGACACAGUGAGGUCACCCAACAGGAUUCCAAAAUGGCUUCUUGGUGGAGGGCUUAGUGGAGUCACCUGAAAGGAUUCCAAGAGGGUUUCUAGAUGGUGGACAAAGAGAGGUCACCCAACAGAAUUUCAAAAUGGCUUCUUGGUAGAGGGCUCAAAUGGCUUCUUGGUGGAGGGCUUAGUGGAGUCACCUGACAGGAUUCCAAGAUGGUCUAUAGAUGUGGACAUAGUGGGGUCAUCCAACAAGAUUCCAAAAUGGCUUCUUGGUGGAGGACUUAGUGGAGUCACCUGGCCGGUUUACAAAAUGGCUUCUAGAUGGUGGGCUCAAUAAAGUCACAUAACUGGAAUCUAUAGUAUAUUCAUGAUGGGGGGCUCGGUGGAGCCAUCUGACAGGUUUUCUAAGAUGUUUUCUAUAUGGAGAGCUUGAUGGCUUAGUGGGGGUCACAGGACUUCAGAAUGGCUUCUAGGGUGGUUGGAGAAGUGAGGUCACGUGGCAGGAAUUCAAAAUGGCUGUUUGGUGCAGGGCUUGGUAAAGUUACUUGACAUGAUUCCAAGAUGGUUUCUAGAUAGUGGACACAGUGAGGUCACCCAACAGGAUUUCAAAAUGGCUUCUUGGGGGAGGGUUCAGUGGAGUCAUCUGACAAUAUUCCUACAUGGUUUCUAGAUGGUGGGAUGGGUAAGUUCCAUGACAGGAAUCCAAAAUAGGCUUGGUGGAGUCAUGUAAAAAGGAUUUCAAGAUGGUUUGUAGAUGGCGGCUCAUCGCGGUCUCACGACUGGCAUCCAAAAUUGGUUCUUGGUUGAGGGCUUACUGGAGUUGCCUGACAUUAUUUCAUGAUGGUUGCUAGAUGAUGGACUCAGUAAGGUCACACAACAGAAAUCCAUAGGUGGGGGGCUUAUUGGCGUCGCAUAACAGGAUUCCGAAAUGUCUUCUCGGUGGAGAGUAUGUUGGAGGUCACAUGACAGGUUUCAUCUUGGCUGCCAUGUGGCAUAUACAUGGAUAGGGCAGCCAAAUGGCUGCCAUGUAACAGGGGGUAUAAGAAAGAGCCAAGAAAACAGGGAAAGCGGUAGAAGCCACAUCAAUUCUAAAUGGCUGCCAUUAAAAUGGAUAAGAUGACCAAGUUGUCAAGACAACGAUCAGCCUUGUGUGAAGGCCACUUCAUCGUUCAGGCAGAGCGAUACAAUUAAAGGCCUGGCUAUACUUGCCCCAGGGGUCCUUCUCUUUGAUAUCAUUAGGAAAAGUCACAUUGGCCUACGUGUUUUUUUUUUUUUUUUUACAACAUCAAUGUCUAGCUGUGGGGUGCCAUCGGUGCCCCUUUCAGGUAUAGUUUGUGGUGUGGUCGAACCCUCAGUUGGUGGACCCUCUGACACAAUCCAAUCCAAAAGACUCUCGUCAUAGACUGAAGAUGGCCUUACAAUCUGGUAAUUGAACGGGGGGAGAGAAAAUGCAGGACUUUAAAUGGCCUGUUGGCUCAAAUGGCCCGUUGGGUCAACGCGUUUCGGCACCAAUGUGUAAGUAGGAGGUUCGAUUAUUUCCUUCCUCCGUACCCCAAAUUGUCCUUUUUUUUCCCUUUGUAUUGUAUUCAACCCCAUUUAGAGAGUCAUGAAUACAUUUUUACUGGCCCUCAUACAUAUGUAAAAUGUUGUUUACAGAUUACAUGCAUUUGCUCCUGAUGAGGCGAUAUAGUCGCCGAAACGCGUCGAUCCAACCGGCCAUUCUAGCCACGUUCGGCUCGACGCGUUUCAAUAAAAAUGUAUUCCUGACUCUCUAAAUGGGGUUGAAUACAAUACAAAGGGGGAAAAAAAGGACAAUUUGGGGUGCGGAGGAAGGAAAGAAUCUAACCUCCGACUUACACAUUGGUGCCGAAACGCGUCGAGCCAAGCCAACAGGCCAUUUAAAGUCCCAAACCUCCCUCUUCUUGUUUUUCACCUUACAACCUGGUUGUACAAUCCUCUAUUGAUCUACCAAUAGCCCUCUAGUGGGGGGGGGGGUGCCUACCUGAUUGGAUAUAAAUUCAAUUGAAAUGUUUAAGCCGGUCUUGACAUCGUUUUGGUUAAAUCCAUCAAUCAAGAUCAUUCAAUGUGAAUGGCACCUUUAGAGGGGAUUGUAUCGAGUCAGAUUGAAACAUGGCUGCCUGGGUUCCCCCAAUAGAAGACCAGGAAGGGAGUGUUUGGCGCCAUAUGGAAAGGGUCCAAUUGGAACAUCUUCCGCCAUUUUGGAAAGUCUUUGGCCUGUAGAGUGCGCCACUGACAACUGCCGGGGCCAUCGAGUAUCCUCCCGCAUAUACUUCACCCAAAUUCCCGCCAUCUUGGUUUUUUUUUU